UCUCCGUAGGUGAACCUGCGGAGGGAUCAUUACAAGUGACCCCGGUCUUACCACCGGGAUGUUCAUAACCCUUUGUUGUCCGACUCUGUUGCCACCGGGGCGACCCUGCCUUCGGGCGGGGGCUCCGGGUGGACACUUCAAACUCUUGCGUAACUUUGCAGUCUGAGUAAACUUAAUUAAUAAAUUAAAACUUUUAACAACGGAUCUCUUGGUUCUG
This 217-nucleotide unclassified non-coding RNA is filed under the name plant metagenome. Its description in RNAcentral is "partial contains small subunit ribosomal RNA, internal transcribed spacer 1, and 5.8S ribosomal RNA". The record is from RNAcentral.